CACCAAAUGAGUUAUAGCUAGACCAUGGUCCUUGUUGGUUAGGUCUAAAGUGGUUGUUUUGUGUGUGCUUCCCCGAUCUGCUUCCAUGACCAAAGCCCAUGAGACUGCGAAUCCUGUAUUAAUAGGCUCCUAAAUGUUACCGAAUAUCACAAAAAGAAUUCUGAAUAUCCAUCAUUAAUAGUAUGAAAAAAAAACGUAGAAGAAUGUAAGGUAAAUGCUGUCGCCCCUUUGAAGAAAAUAAAAGUUGUAAAAGUAAAAGUAUUCUGACAGGAACCUGUAUGUGCUGAUGUUUGGAAAGUGUCAACACACAUCAUGUCAUUUAACGGUAUUUCCUGUUUGUUUUGACACAGCAGAGGAUGCUGGGAGGCCCAGGGAGGACGGAGCUUGUAAUUGGUUCAGUGUACAGUUGAUGUCAAUCGACUUCAAGCACCACAGCAGCCCACUGGUGGAAGAGGCAAGGAGAUGGCACCAUAUAUACGAAGAACAAAAGAGUGUUGUUGUUGUUGUUGUUUUUUUUCAAAUAUAAAUCAAGAUCAUCUCACGAAAAAAAAAAAAAAAAAAAAAAAAACUGCUGUACCAUAAAUCCAAACUCCUAUAUUCUGAUAUAUUUGUUUAACGGCAUUUCUUUUCUUUUAUCCUAGUACUUUGAAUUUUACUUGUGAAUUUUAUGUCAGAUUUGUUUUGUUUUGCUUUCGAUGUUCUUUCUUUGAACCCCACUUCCAGCCUUCAUCGUUAACAGGAUUAGAGUCUAUUGCCUUUGGUACAAUUCUUGGAGAGUUCUUAACGAGUCAUUUUUGCUCACAUGUAAAACAAGUGAAAAGACUGAACAUGUUGGGGAAGAAGACACAUUUAAUUUCAAGUGGAAAUUGCGAGGGUAAAAAUAUAAAUCUUAGUAUCUGUUUUUAAUUAUUGUGAUGUAUCAUUAUUUGACCAUAAUUACCUAUUUUUGGGCAAUACAAAGAGGACUCCAAUAUUUUUAUGGUCCUUUUUUUAUAAGUGUUGUUUUUUGUCGUUUAGAAACAAAAAUGUAUACUAUAACAUUUUUCAUAUAAAUACAUUGUGAAUUGAGAUUUAAGAAAAUGUACAUAUUAUACCAGUCUCUGCAUAUAACCAACUAAGAAUGAAAAAAGACAUAUUUUUUCUGACAGUGUCUCAACAAAGUGUCCCCAGGGUGUAUAUAAACAAAAAAAUACAGCUCAAAACAGAUCAUCAGUCGGUUGUUAGUGAAAAACAGCAGAUACCCCUGUGGUAAUAUACAGUAUAUGAUAUAUCAGAGUACUGAUGUCUUGCUCUGUAAAUAAAACCGAGAUGAACAGCAUCACAAGUGUCAUACCAGCAUAUUUCCAAAUGGUGAGAACAGGUCAUUGCUUAAGGAAACAAAACAAAAACAAAACAAAAAAAAACAAAGCAAAUAUGGAGGCGUAUAACAUCACAACUGACAUACGAGGGAUCAGUAUCAUUUUUAAGAGAAUAAUGACAAAAUCCAAAGCACACUGUAUUUAGUGUUAAAGAAAAUAACUGCAUUCUGUCCAGAGAUUUUACAAUGACCUUCGCAUCCUGACACUUUUAUACUCUGGAGGGGGAAAAAAAGACUUACUAUGUUAUUUGUUGAUGUUGUUGUUGUUUGUUGUCGUUUGUCUGCUCCAGAUGGUUCGGCUCUCCUUCAGAACACAGGUUCUGAACUAUUAUGUAGCAGAGCCAAUGAGGACGGCUUAUUCUUUUGCUCGGUUCUCUGUUGAAAGAAAUACGAAGGCAAACGUUUUUAUAUCAUACCUCAGCCCCCGUGACUCUCACCUGGGGAAAAACGUAACUGAUUUAAUUUAUUUUCAGUAGUUGAUGAGAGAGUUAAAAUAACAAAAAUACUGAUGGAGUUCAAGGAAAUAAAAUCAUUGCACUGUGACCGGUAUGAAAGAUUUGAACCAUUUUCCUUUGUUUGCACAUGUUAAAUGUUGGUGAUGUUGGUCCUUAAAAUUAGUCAAGUAUGAAGAACUGUUGUAACAUGAAUGUCAAAACGAAGCAAUGAAUACCAAUUUAUAACCUAAUGUCUUGAUUUUAGAGAGGGGAUAUAGGCAGCCUUUGUGAUAUGGGUCUGGUGUCAGAGUUUCACCCAGGUAGACGGAAGGAGAUUGGUCAUAGCAGUAAUCAUCGCUGCUGUGGGAAAUUUGAACAGGACUGGUUUAGCUCAAAUAAAGAGCAUCAUAGGGGGAUGUUUAGAGUGCAGAUUGUCAUAUAUGAUAAUGGGUUUAUUGUAUAUUCUGAUGUACAUUUGUCUUUUUUCCUGCUGCAAAUGUAUUGUUUUAUUUUAAUCUAUGUUUUGUUUAUUUUAUUUUAUUGACUCUGAUGUUCAAAACAACCAGGUAAAGCGAGAUGCUGGAUGCUUUUUAAAUAAUAUGGAGACAACAAUUUAACCUGAGAAAAAAAAAUGGAAGAAAACUAUUGUAAAGUUCACAUGUAAACAGAAGAAGCAAAUGAAAUACAAAACUGAAAAAAAAGAAAAAAAUGCUCCUGAUUGCUGAUUUCAAUUUUGCAACAGGGUUUUAUUGACAUUUUUGUGGUUGUUAAUAAUUAUAUUAAUAAUUAUAAUAGCGAUAUUAUUCUAAUGUACGGUGGAUCUAUCAGUUCCUCUCUUGCCAUUCCCUGUCACCAUAUACAAUCUUUGGUUCAUCAUUGUAUUUCAUUCUUGUGCAAAAGAAGACCUCGUAACAGAGUGCUGUUUUUGAGAACCCGUGUAGAUGUCGAUCUUCUUUGAUGUUCUCUCCAUGUAUCUUCUCACACCUUCCUCUAGUCUUUGUAAGUAGUCGUAGAUGUUAUGUAUUUAGAAUAAACUCGUAGUUCGUAGCAGAUUUAGGACCAGUAAGGAUAGAACUUUUUCAUAUUAUCAGUGCUUCACACAAAAUUGCAACCAGUUCAUUUUAUAGCAACUUUGCUGUAGCGUUGUUGUUUUUUUCUUUUUCUUUCUUUGUUGUGUUUGCGGUUUUCACAUGGUUUCAACUAACCAAAGCUUACACAUGAGAAUUAUAAAAAUGCUGUAAGACAGAAUUUUAAAAUAGGCAUUCUUUGGAUCCCCACACCUUGAAUGUUUUUGAAAGGGGGUGUGCCAUACUACCUUAAAAGCUAAUGCACGACUUUUAUUUUGAAUUAUUUUCUAAGAGGGACACAAGCUAUAAUUAAGAAGAUUUUAUGUCAAAGAAAAUCAUAUUUUUUUAGAAGGUUCGCACAGACUAAUAAUGAUAAUUACAAUAAUUAUUAUUAUGAUAUUACUAAUAAAACUUGUUCUAUGUUUUGAUGUUUGUACACUUUGAAAAUAUCCUGGGUGCCACUGGCUCUGCUAUUUUUGGAUACCACUCUGUUUUUUAAACGCGUCUGCCUUUUACAGAAUCCGUUUUUUUUUUUUCUUUUGGUCAUAAACACCUAAAUCGGAGACAUUGGGAAUUAUUUUUGUACUCUCGACCAAGGACACCAGUGCUUUAUUUUAAUCAAAAGAGAGACUUGUUUACUUUGCCUUGUAGUGUGCAUACACACUGAAGGUGAAGGUGACAUGCUCUCAGAAAUGUGGGAUAGAAGAAAAGCAUUCAGAGGGUGGGUCUAGAGUUUAGAGUAGCUUAAACUGCUGUGUGAACAACAGGAAGUUGAUAGAAAGAAAGCUCCUUUCAGAAGCGAGUAUGUAUAGUAUAGAAGGCUUAUCUAUGAGUAACUACUGUCUGGGUGGCUUACAGUGCUGUUUGAGUUCUAAAACACUGGGUUUAGAACUAAACCUGAUGCACGGUAUGGAUCUUGUCCCUCUAUUUUUCUUUAAGUUACAGCUCUCCUUUGACUCUCUUAAGAAAUAUAACUAUAAUCACUUAAAUAUUUAUUAUUAUUGGGCUGAAAGACAUUUUGCAAGGCAGACAAACAGAGAGAACACUGGUUGCUUUUAAUAUUUGUUGAAAACUUUCCGUAAUGGAUAAAGUUUUGAUUAAACUAAAGACUGGUGAUCCACGAAAAUAGUCACACCAUCUCUAUUUUUAGUUACUUUGUUAAAUUGUUUCGCUUUUUUGUAACUUUUGAUCCCGUAGCUUGGACUUUAAGGUAGCAUGGCUCAGUUUACGUCCUUUUAUUUUCCAUUGACAGCAAAUAACAGCUGAUGAAUGUUACACAUCUUACUAGAUUAGUCAUUUCAUUGGAUAAUUGUUGGUUUAGAAAAAAAAAAUCUAAAAGGAUGAAAAAAAUUGACCUGGACGGUGUUUGGAGUGUACUACCGUAUCCAUUUAAACUUGAAUAUUUAGGCAAGUGCUAGGUAAUGGCCAACCCUUCAUCGCCUUUCAGUCAUGCAUUAAACAGGCAUACAUGCAUGUUUUAUUGGAUGUAUGCACUGGUACCUCUUUGUGUUAAUAUUUUUGACUACUCGCUAGUAGUGAACCCUUCCCACUACUGUCAUGGCAUACUUCCUGUCUGGCUCAAACAGUAGUGUCCCACACUGCUUAUGUCCCUCAUGCUCCCAACAUUUCACCUUCAUUAUUGUGCUGUAGGAGGUGAAACAGUGAUGAUGUCCAGCGAUGAUUCAUAAAACGCAAAAUUAAAACUACAAUAAUAAUAAUAAUAAUAAUACAUAUUUAUGACUGUUAACCAGUGCGUGGGCUUCCUACUGGGUAGUCUUAACUGUACAAAUGGACGAGUCCUUUGGCUGUAGCCGUUGCUUAGAGACAGUUACACACCUGGACGGUCGAAAAGCGACGGUGCAAUAGAGCUCACCAUAGCUACUGUCCUUCCGUUAGCCUUUCGCAUCCCGCUCGAGGGAGAGGUUGUUGCUAGGCGCUGGGGUUUUGUUGUUUGUUGUCAUUCUAUACUUCCCCAUUCUGCCUUGCCCAUUCCUACCACUUGCCCAUUUUUUUAACGUUUAAUGACUUUUUACUGCAAGAGACUGACAGAACUGACUGACUGAUGUCUGAAAGCAUCUUUCAGGUCUUCUUCUUGUACGGCUUUGCUCAAGCCCUGUUGUAAAAUAAAUGAAAUAAAAAAUAAAACUCAAAUGGAUGGGGGUCUCUCACAUCUCAGAUGUGGAAAGUAUAAUUUUAUAUUUGUAUUUUCAAAUAAUAUUAAUAAAAAGAUGUUUGUGAAAGGUUUCCAUCCUCUACUGUGGUCCAGAAAUCGAUGUGUCUGUCUGGAAAAAAAAUAAACAAAUAAAAACAAAAUGAAGUA
Molecule: long non-coding RNA, 5178 nt
Organism: Clupea harengus (Atlantic herring)
Lineage: Eukaryota; Metazoa; Chordata; Actinopteri; Clupeiformes; Clupeidae
Source: Ensembl